CGUUGUCCCAGUCCCGCCCCGGGAGGGAGCACCCAGCCCCCCUGCUGCGCGGCGCUGGCAUUUUUGUGACCACGUAGAAGCCUGCGGCGUGUCCCUCUCCGCCCCCUGCCCUCCCUUCUCCGCCCUCCCCGGCACAGGAUCGACGUGUCAGCCCUGAAAGUUCAUGUUCGGGUCCCGGGCGAGUUCCCCGCAACGCGGCGGUCCCGGGCAGCGAGACGUGGCGCCGUGGGCAGGGGCGCCGGCACCUUCCUCAGCUACUUUCUGAAUUGAUACUUUCAAAAUGAAGAGGAAGAUAGGAGUGAGAACGAAGAAUGCCUUGGAGAAAUCCAGUCACAAAGUUUGAGAAGUAGAAACAUUAGGAAAUAUUAAUAACUCUGGCCUCUUAAAUAGGUCAGCAUUUGGACUGAAAUUAUGAAAAGCCACAAACCUAAGACAUGAAGCCUGUUACAUUUGAAUCUAGAUUCACAGAUUUUUAAAUUAAUACAUAAUAAAAAUAUUUGCAUUUUUUUUCCACUA
Molecule: long non-coding RNA, 516 nt
Organism: Strigops habroptila (Kakapo)
Lineage: Eukaryota; Metazoa; Chordata; Aves; Psittaciformes; Psittacidae
Exons: 2
Source: RefSeq, a predicted model, not a curated record